AACGAACGCUGGCGGUAUGCUUAACACAUGCAAGUCGAACGAACAAAAUUGGGGCUUGCUCCAAUUUUAGUGAGUGGCAAACGGGUGAGUAACACGUGGGAAUCUACCUAUCAGUACGGAAUAACAUUUGGAAACAGAUGCUAAUACCGUAUAUUCUUCAAGGAGGAAAGAUUUAUCGCUGAUAGAUGAGCCCGCGCAAGAUGAGGUAGUUGGUAGGGUAAUGGCCUACCAAGCCUACGAUCUUUAGCUGGUCUGAGAGGAUGAUCAGCCACACUGGGACUGAGACACGGCCCAGACUCCUACGGGAGGCAGCAGUGGGGAAUAUUGGACAAUGGGCGAAAGCCUGAUCCAGCAAUACCGCGUGAAUGAUGAAGGCCUUAGGGUUGUAAAGUUCUUUUAGUUGGAAAGAUAAUGACGGUACCAACAGAAAAAGCCCCGGCUAACUCCGUGCCAGCCGCCGCGGUAA
Molecule: ribosomal RNA, 466 nt
Filed under: uncultured bacterium
Lineage: Bacteria
Description: partial 16S ribosomal RNA
Rfam family: Bacterial small subunit ribosomal RNA
Source: RNAcentral